CCCUUUCAAUAGUCCCUCCCUCUCUCGCGUCUCUGAGCAUGCUCCGGGUUUCCUCCUCUACGAGAACCACUCUCGUAGAUUAGGGUUUCUCUUCUUUUCUAUUUCCUAAAUCUUCUGGUAUCCAUUUCUUUUUAUGGAGAUCGCGCUGCAGGGUUCUCGCGAUCAUUGCAUGCUCUUCGGGAAUUAGGGUUUGGGUUCCGGGAUCUCUCCGUGGGGGCAUGGAGAUGGAGAGCUCCCGCAGAUCCGCCAUGGACCGCUCCCGAGAGCCGGGCUUGAAGAGACCUCGAUUGGUGGAGGACGACCGCGGCGUCUCCGCCAGCCGAGACCGUCCAUUUCCGCCGCCGAGGGCCGGCAGCCAGCCGCUGGGCCCGAGGCUGAGGGCCGGCGGCGAGAGGGAGAGGGAGAGGGUGGAAAGAGAGGACGCGCUGUGGGGAGAAUCUUAUCAGCAGCAGCAAGAGCUCGUGGCGCAGUACAAGACGGCGCUGGCCGAACUGACGUUCAAUUCAAAGCCUAUCAUCACAAAUCUAACCAUCAUCGCCGGAGAGAAUCUCCAUGCUGCUAAGGAAAUCACCUCCACCAUCUGCGCCAAUGUUCUCGAGGUUCCCAGUGAACAGAAGUUGCCAUCCCUUUAUCUUCUUGAUAGUAUCGUGAAGAAUAUUGGAAGAGAGUACAUUAAAUAUUUUGCUGCAAGGUUACCUGAGGUAUUUUGCAGGGCUUAUAAACAGGUUGAUUCUUAUGUACAUCCUAGUAUGCGACAUCUUUUUGGAACAUGGAAAGGAGUCUUCCCCUCUGCUACACUUCAGAUAAUUGAGAAUGAACUUGGCUUCUCAGCUAUCGUCAAUGGUUCAUCUGGAGCUGCAUCAUCGAGGCCUGAUUCUCAGACACAGCGUCCACCAUACAGCAUUCAUGUGAAUCCAAAAUAUUUAGAAGCAAGACAGCGCCUUCAACAGUCAACUAGGGCAAAGGAAAUAAUCAAUGAUGACAUCAGUGGUGCAGUUAGUUCGAUUGAUGCAGAGAGGUCUGACAAAACAGCAAUUAUUGGAAGCACAAGGCAAUGGAAAAAUGUCCCAAACAGAAUGCCUAAUAUGCGGCCUCAAAGAGAACUGAUAAACAAUCCCAUUCAUGAGAGAAAAGAAUUCAGAGAUCAUGAGUUCUCUUCUGAUAUUGCACGGCAGUCGGAUCUUGGAGUUGGAAGGGUAAGUGAGAGGCUUAAAGAGCGAGAUGUACUUGAUAAACCAUAUCAUGGUGCUGGCAUAAAAGCUUCUGAAAUGCGCAUCAGCAGAAGCAAUGGUUUUGAUGUUAAUCGUGCAUAUGGAAUAUACCGGGCAUCUGGAUCUGCACGCGUAGAUAGUCAACUGCCUUCAGUUCACCUGAACAAUACAGAUAGAAGUAUCCAACUAACAUCUGAGAACUGGAAGAAUUCCGAGGAGGAAGAGUAUAUGUGGGAUGACAUGAAUUCCAGAGCAAUGGAUUCUGAAAGUACUGAUAGCCUAAUAAAAGGUGGGUGGAGUAGUAAUGAUGCAAAUAAACCUGCAAGUUUGCAGAAAGGCAAGGGGAUACCUUCAGCGUCUGAGCAUCUAGGCUCUUAUUUGAACAAAAUUGACUCUUUAUCUCAAUUGAGAAAGACCUCUGCACGGGAAGGCAGAGUUCCACUACUUAAGGAACCUGAAGUGCACCUUCCGCAGCCCCAUGCCAAGCAUGAUGCUGAGUCAAGAGUAGGUGUGGGAACUUCAGCAGAUUCACUGUACAUGGGGCGAGAUGUUUUGGAGCAUCCUACCUCCAUUUGGGCCCCACAUGAGGUUUCACCCUCAAUGAUUGGAUUGAAUCAUACAAGCUCAAGAAUUUCUAGUCAGUCUGAAGGACAACCUAUGUCUUUUAGUGGUGGUUUAUCUACAAGCAUGGGUUCAUCUUUAGUUUCAGGAUCAAGUGGAAUGCUUGGGCAGCAAAGACAGCAACUGCUGCAGCCUCCAUCACCAUCUGCACGUUCACCUCCAUCUUCUGCAGUCCUUCAACAUCAGAAAUCACACAGUUCAACUGAUCAUGAUCGUCUUCGAUCUAAUUCCUUCUUUCCCAUGGUUCAAAAACCUGCACAUGUUCCAGAGCAGUCAAGUCAAGUCCCACAGGCAUCAGUAACUCAGGAUUCUUGUACUAUUUCUGCUCAAAAUCAUACACAGAAUUCUCAUACUCCAUUGAACUCACAGUCACCCCCAUCACAUCCUUCUCAACACCUGCAAAACUCGUCUGCUUCUGCUUCAGCACGUUUUGGUCAGCGUAGGCAUCACCUUCCCUUCAUGCAGCAAUCAGAGCCUAGUCUAUCAGUGCAAGAGACAGAAACACAGUCUCAAACUUCCCAUCAGACCAAGAAAUCACCGUCUCUACCCCUGAGUUUUGGAUCUCAUCAGAUAGAACUUUCUGGAACGAACAACUCAAAUAAUCCUGCUGUUGAAAUUGGUGGCCAACCUAACACAACUAAUUUAUUGGCUGCUAUUAUGAACACUGGACUUGUACCGAACAAUACAAUGAGUAAUUCCAAGAACCUGAACAUACAGCCUCCCCUACCUAGUGGACCUCCUCCUAUUCUAGUUGCGACAUCAUCUGUUCCUUCUGUCACUCCCUCAAUAUCGCUACCAUUGUCCCAUGGCAAUAUAUCUGCUCUUGUGUCACCCUCUACGAGACCCAUUCUUCCUCCCCUACCACCUGGACCUCCACCUCGCUCAUCCUUGGUGCGUACUUCCAAAGAGACCUCGAACAUAGCUGGUACCACUACAAAUCCACUUUCAAGUCUUCUGAGCUCAUUAGUUGAAAAAGGUUUGAUAUCCUCACCAGCAGCAGAAUUACCAGCUGCAACUUCAGUUCAGCUGCCUAAUGAACUGGCAAAUCAGAGUAGUGGCUUUGCUAGCAGCACCUCAAAAUGUGAACUUUCAACCUUAGAUAGUUCAGCCAUUCCUUCAGUAGCAGCAAAAGAGCCUUCUGCCACUGAAUCAGAUGCUCCAGCAAGUGCUGCUAUGUUACAAUCCACUACAAGAUUGAACGACCUUUUAGGCAUUGAGUUCAAGCCAGAGAUCAUACGGAAAUUUCAUCCUGAGGUGAUCAGUAGCCUCUUUGAUGACCUAGAGCAUCGGUGCAACAUAUGUGGCCUAAGAUUCCAAAUUAAAGAGCAGUUCAGUGGUCACUUGGAUUGGCAUGGCUCAAUGAAGUCUGAAGUGAGCAGUUUGAACAGAGUUUCUCGGAAGUGGUAUGUGAAUUUGAGUAGUUGGCUCUCUGGAUGUGUGGCACCACAAUCUGGGCCAGUAGAGUCAACCAUUUCUCUGGAUGAGAUUGUCCCAACAUACGGGCAAUAUGAGCCAGCAGUUCCUGCAGAUGAAAGCCAAUGCCUAUGUGCUUUAUGCGGAGAACCAUUUGAAGAUGUUUAUUCUGCCGAAAGGGAUGAAUGGAUGUACAAAGGAACAGUGUAUUUGGAUGUACCAAAGAAGCAAAGUGAUAUGGAAAAAAUGGAUGAGUCUGCUGGACAGGUUCCUAUUGUGCAUGCCAGCUGUAUAUCAAGAAGCUCAGCUGAUAACAUGGAGGAUACAAAUGACUAGGUGGUAUAACCCUAUACAUCAUUUGGCAGUUUUUUGGUUUUUGUGUUAUCAGCUCUCAAUCAUCCCUUGUGCUGGACAUAUACGGAUAUUCCAAAAGAGAAAAAUUGUAUCAAUUUUUGUGCUGCAGUUCCAUGCAUUGCUCGGACGGAGUCUGCUCGACAUAUUACAUGUGCGAGCCAUCAGGGCUAUUUUGUUUGUGGACGAGAAUGAGAAACUGAUCUCCUUUUGUUCCUUCUGUAUGUUCACUCGUUGUCUUGUAGUCUCAAGCGAAAUGGAUAAGCAAUAGGUUAGCUUUGUUUUCUUCCCUUGUCAAAUGUUGCUUGUAUGUGGUUUCUAUCUGUUGUCAUAGUCUCCUCGAAAUAGGCUGGGCAUUUUACUUCAGCAUCAGGUUGAGCAAAAAGAAAGAGAACUGCAGUAAGGCUAUGAAUAAUCUAGCUUUUCAGUGGGAUUCACAAAGCUCUUUGGCUGCAUGUCUCUGAAUGGUACAACUCAACCUGUACUUCAGCACCGGCGACUUGCAAGCUUCCUGUAAUUUAGCUCAAGAUUGCCUUUUGUUAGGGGGACGAGAUGUAAACUUUUUUCUGCAUAAACCGUACUCGUAUUAUUAUCUUACAGGUACUGCAUAUGUACUGUCAUAUUAAUGCAAUUCAUUUGGAUCAAGUUUUUUUUGGCUC
Phoenix dactylifera (date palm) is the source of this 4255-nucleotide RNA transcript. It is a transcript of the gene named polyadenylation and cleavage factor homolog 4-like, with no coding region annotated. NCBI's taxonomy places the organism in Eukaryota, Viridiplantae, Streptophyta, Magnoliopsida, Arecales, Arecaceae. The record is from RefSeq and is a predicted model, not a curated record.